UACGUAGGGGGCAAGCGUUGUCCGGAUUUAUUGGGCGUAAAGAGCGUGUAGGCGGCUAGGUAGGUCCGUUGUGAAAACUCGAGGCUCAACCUCGAGACGCCGGUGGAAACCAUCUAGCUAGAGUCCGGAAGAGGAGAGUGGAAUUCCUGGUGUAGCGGUGAAAUGCGCAGAUAUCAGGAAGAACACCCGUGGCGAAGGCGGCAUCCUGGACCGGUAUUGACGCUGAGGCGCGAAAGCCAGGGGAGCAAACGGG
This 253-nucleotide ribosomal RNA is filed under the name uncultured bacterium. Its description in RNAcentral is "partial 16S ribosomal RNA". It matches the Rfam family "Bacterial small subunit ribosomal RNA", at positions 524 to 776 of the family's 1533-position model. The record is from RNAcentral.